RNAcentral lists this transfer RNA (72 nucleotides) under Camelus bactrianus (Bactrian camel). It matches the Rfam family "tRNA". Rfam says of the family: Transfer RNA (tRNA) molecules are approximately 80 nucleotides in length. Their secondary structure includes four short double-helical elements and three loops (D, anti-codon, and T loops). Lineage: Eukaryota; Metazoa; Chordata; Mammalia; Artiodactyla; Camelidae. RNAcentral also lists the same sequence under 2 other names. The record is from Rfam by way of RNAcentral.
GAGGGUAUAGCUCAGUGGUAGAGUGUGUGCUUAGCAUGCAGAAGGUCCUGGGUUCAAACCCCAGUACUGCCA